UUGUGUCUUUGUACGUAUAGUUCUAUGGUCGCCAUACCGAUGGUUCAGCCUUCAGGUAUAAAAUUUACCAGAUGUUGAGUCCUCAGAGUUGAUAUUUCACAAUGUAGGCUUUAAAUUAUUUGUCAACUUGAGUGUAUCUGCAAUUUUCAAAUAACUUUCAGUUUUUUUUACAACACGAAGGUAAAGGAUUUGAUUGCAUUGCUUUUGCCGCCUGAUACAGGCGAUUGUAUAGCAUCUAGCGGAGAAAUUCUUUACUGCCUAUCGGCCAUUGCCAUUCAUCGUCUGCUACUUAAUUUUUUCAUUUCUCACGUGGUCGGAGUGGAGACGGUGGCCUGUCACGCCUGAUCCCCAUAUUCCUGGAAUUUGGAAAUUCCUUGCCCAGUUGGUUAUCUCUCUUCUAAUUGUGCUACCAACUAUUGUUAAAUAUAAUUUGUUGUCAUUUCGUUUUCAUUAAACAUUCCUCGCUGUCAAACAGUAAAGAUAUUUGUUCUUGUCCAGCCCAGCUUGUGAUUCAUUGCUCAAAAUUUCCUGACUUCAGAAGUUGGUGAGGUGUUAAGUGACGGUGAGGUGUUAAGAGAUCUGCCAGAUUGACCAGGACUCGUGUUCAUCACCAAAUUAUUUCAUGUAGUAAUUUAUCUAUGUUUAGUGAACACACAAUUUCCAAGUCUGAUUCCUUUUUCUAAGUUGAGACAUCACAAUUUUUGUAAAAGGUUUUCUUUGUGUUAGGAUUCCUUUUUGACAGGAAAAUUAGAAGUUUUUUUUUUGGGGGGAAAGAGGUACUUUGGAUUCUUUCAUUUUAUUUCUGAGGGUGGAUGAGGUGGCAAGAUUCAAACUUAACUGUAAAUUCCUUGACCCUUGUUCCGUGGCGUUGGAGGACAGCGUCAUUUUGAGGUGACAGUAUUUUCGAGUAUUGUACAUUUCUUUUGUUCAUGUUCCCAGAAAAUUGACUCUUUUUAAGGUUUCAGCCAUGUCAAUCGAUUUCGUAAUGAAUGGUCUCAAUUAGAUAUUGUUUCUUAUUAGCUUUACUUUACUUCCCCCCGAGAUUAGUUGCUCCUGACUAGUAAUUGCUAUUUUCCGUAUCGACUUCUUCCUAAUAUUAAUUGCCACAAUCUUCUCCUGACUGAAUGUCUUGGAUGCAGUUUUAUCACGGCCAUGUUUACAGUUUGACUGAUGGGAGAUUUCACGCAGUCAUACAAUUAACACAGAUUGGGAUAAAUUUUGUUCUUUUAUUUGAAGACAUUUCUAAAAAGAUUUUCCGAACAUCAACCAGCUCUUUCUCUUGCUAAAUAAACUAUAUAUAUUCGUUUACGAUAUGUAGUGUGUUUAAAAGUAUUGAUUCUUAAAGUUGAAAUGUGUAAUUAAAAACGGAAAUAAAUAGUUGGAAUUGCA
Molecule: long non-coding RNA, 1389 nt
Organism: Daphnia pulex (common water flea)
Lineage: Eukaryota; Metazoa; Arthropoda; Branchiopoda; Diplostraca; Daphniidae
Exons: 2
Source: RefSeq, a predicted model, not a curated record